RNAcentral lists this ribosomal RNA (1722 nucleotides) under Escherichia coli. RNAcentral's name for it is "partial 23S ribosomal RNA". It matches the Rfam family "Bacterial large subunit ribosomal RNA", at positions 520 to 2226 of the family's 2925-position model. The record is from RNAcentral. Lineage: Bacteria; Pseudomonadati; Pseudomonadota; Gammaproteobacteria; Enterobacterales; Enterobacteriaceae.
AGAACCCCGGCGAGGGGAGUGAAAAAGAACCUGAAACCGUGUACGUACAAGCAGUGGGAGCACAGAGCAAUCUGUGUGACUGCGUACCUUUUGUAUAAUGGGUCAGCGACUUAUAUUCUGUAGCAAGGUUAACCGAAUAGGGGAGCCGAAGGGAAACCGAGUCUUAACUGGGCGUUAAGUUGCAGGGUAUAGACCCGAAACCCGGUGAUCUAGCCAUGGGCAGGUUGAAGGUUGGGUAACACUAACUGGAGGACCGAACCGACUAAUGUUGAAAAAUUAGCGGAUGACUUGUGGCUGGGGGUGAAAGGCCAAUCAAACCGGGAGAUAGCUGGUUCUCCCCGAAAGCUAUUUAGGUAGCGCCUCGUGAAUUCAUCUCCGGGGGUAGAGCACUGUUUCGGCAAGGGGGUCAUCCCGACUUACCAACCCGAUGCAAACUGCGAAUACCGGAGAAUGUUAUCACGGGAGACACACGGCGGGUGCUAACGUCCGUCGUGAAGAGGGAAACAACCCAGACCGCCAGCUAAGGUCCCAAAGUCAUGGUUAAGUGGGAAACGAUGUGGGAAGGCCCAGACAGCCAGGAUGUUGGCUUAGAAGCAGCCAUCAUUUAAAGAAAGCGUAAUAGCUCACUGGUCGAGUCGGCCUGCGCGGAAGAUGUAACGGGGCUAAACCAUGCACCGAAGCUGCGGCAGCGACACUGUGUGUUGUUGGGUAGGGGAGCGUUCUGUAAGCCUGUGAAGGUGUGCUGUGAGGCAUGCUGGAGGUAUCAGAAGUGCGAAUGCUGACAUAAGUAACGAUAAAGCGGGUGAAAAGCCCGCUCGCCGGAAGACCAAGGGUUCCUGUCCAACGUUAAUCGGGGCAGGGUGAGUCGACCCCUAAGGCGAGGCCGAAAGGCGUAGUCGAUGGGAAACAGGUUAAUAUUCCUGUACUUGGUGUUACUGCGAAGGGGGGACGGAGAAGGCUAUGUUGGCCGGGCGACGGUUGUCCCGGUUUAAGCGUGUAGGCUGGUUUUCCAGGCAAAUCCGGAAAAUCAAGGCUGAGGCGUGAUGACGAGGCACUACGGUGCUGAAGCAACAAAUGCCCUGCUUCCAGGAAAAGCCUCUAAGCAUCAGGUAACAUCAAAUCGUACCCCAAACCGACACAGGUGGUCAGGUAGAGAAUACCAAGGCGCUUGAGAGAACUCGGGUGAAGGAACUAGGCAAAAUGGUGCCGUAACUUCGGGAGAAGGCACGCUGAUAUGUAGGUGAAGUCCCUCGCGGAUGGAGCUGAAAUCAGUCGAAGAUACCAGCUGGCUGCAACUGUUUAUUAAAAACACAGCACUGUGCAAACACGAAAGUGGACGUAUACGGUGUGACGCCUGCCCGGUGCCGGAAGGUUAAUUGAUGGGGUCAGCGCAAGCGAAGCUCUUGAUCGAAGCCCCGGUAAACGGCGGCCGUAACUAUAACGGUCCUAAGGUAGCGAAAUUCCUUGUCGGGUAAGUUCCGACCUGCACGAAUGGCGUAAUGAUGGCCAGGCUGUCUCCACCCGAGACUCAGUGAAAUUGAACUCGCUGUGAAGAUGCAGUGUACCCGCGGCAAGACGGAAAGACCCCGUGAACCUUUACUAUAGCUUGACACUGAACAUUGAGCCUUGAUGUGUAGGAUAGGUGGGAGGCUUUGAAGUGUGGACGCCAGUCUGCAUGGAGCCGACCUUGAAAUACCACCCUUUAAUGUUUGAUGUUCUAAC